CUUAAAUUGAAGAGUUUGAUCAUGGCUCAGAUUGAACGCUGGCGGCAGGCCUAACACAUGCAAGUCGAGCGGUAGCACAGAGAGCUUGCUCUCGGGUGACGAGCGGCGGACGGGUGAGUAAUGUCUGGGAAACUGCCUGAUGGAGGGGGAUAACUACUGGAAACGGUAGCUAAUACCGCAUAAUGUCGCAAGACCAAAGUGGGGGACCUUCGGGCCUCAUGCCAUCAGAUGUGCCCAGAUGGGAUUAGCUAGUAGGUGGGGUAACGGCUCACCUAGGCGACGAUCCCUAGCUGGUCUGAGAGGAUGACCAGCCACACUGGAACUGAGACACGGUCCAGACUCCUACGGGAGGCAGCAGUGGGGAAUAUUGCACAAUGGGCGCAAGCCUGAUGCAGCCAUGCCGCGUGUGUGAAGAAGGCCUUCGGGUUGUAAAGCACUUUCAGCGGGGAGGAAGGCGGUGAGGUUAAUAACCUCACCGAUUGACGUUACCCGCAGAAGAAGCACCGGCUAACUCCGUGCCAGCAGCCGCGGUAAUACGGAGGGUGCAAGCGUUAAUCGGAAUUACUGGGCGUAAAGCGCACGCAGGCGGUCUGUCAAGUCGGAUGUGAAAUCCCCGGGCUCAACCUGGGAACUGCAUUCGAAACUGGCAGGCUAGAGUCUUGUAGAGGGGGGUAGAAUUCCAGGUGUAGCGGUGAAAUGCGUAGAGAUCUGGAGGAAUACCGGUGGCGAAGGCGGCCCCCUGGACAAAGACUGACGCUCAGGUGCGAAAGCGUGGGGAGCAAACAGGAUUAGAUACCCUGGUAGUCCACGCCGUAAACGAUGUCGAUUUGGAGGUUGUGCCCUUGAGGCGUGGCUUCCGGAGCUAACGCGUUAAAUCGACCGCCUGGGGAGUACGGCCGCAAGGUUAAAACUCAAAUGAAUUGACGGGGGCCCGCACAAGCGGUGGAGCAUGUGGUUUAAUUCGAUGCAACGCGAAGAACCUUACCUGGUCUUGACAUCCACAGAACUUUCCAGAGAUGGAUUGGUGCCUUCGGGAACUGUGAGACAGGUGCUGCAUGGCUGUCGUCAGCUCGUGUUGUGAAAUGUUGGGUUAAGUCCCGCAACGAGCGCAACCCUUAUCCUUUGUUGCCAGCGGUCCGGCCGGGAACUCAAAGGAGACUGCCAGUGAUAAACUGGAGGAAGGUGGGGAUGACGUCAAGUCAUCAUGGCCCUUACGACCAGGGCUACACACGUGCUACAAUGGCAUAUACAAAGAGAAGCGACCUCGCGAGAGCAAGCGGACCUCAUAAAGUAUGUCGUAGUCCGGAUUGGAGUCUGCAACUCGACUCCAUGAAGUCGGAAUCGCUAGUAAUCGUAGAUCAGAAUGCUACGGUGAAUACGUUCCCGGGCCUUGUACACACCGCCCGUCACACCAUGGGAGUGGGUUGCAAAAGAAGUAGGUAGCUUAACCUUCGGGAGGGCGCUUACCACUUUGUGAUUCAUGACUGGGGUGAAGUCGUAACAAGGUAACCGUAGGGGAACCUGCGGUUGGAUCACCUCCUUACC
This 1545-nucleotide ribosomal RNA is filed under the name Klebsiella pneumoniae. Its description in RNAcentral is "bacterial SSU rRNA". It matches the Rfam family "Bacterial small subunit ribosomal RNA". Lineage: Bacteria; Pseudomonadati; Pseudomonadota; Gammaproteobacteria; Enterobacterales; Enterobacteriaceae. The record is from RNAcentral.